RNAcentral lists this long non-coding RNA (1243 nucleotides) under Panax ginseng (ginseng). RNAcentral's name for it is "long non-coding RNA (PGIN_LNC008129)". Lineage: Eukaryota; Viridiplantae; Streptophyta; Magnoliopsida; Apiales; Araliaceae. The record is from RNAcentral.
UAAACCGCUGUUGCCCAAAAAGGAGUGGACUAACCAGCACGAGAGAGAGAAAAGGAAAGAUUCAAUGGAUUGCUAUACAGAAACAGAGAGAUAACCCUAGGUUUUCUGUUCUCAAAGGAGAGAAAUAGAAAGUUAAGAAAAGAAAACCUAGGUGUUCAUAUACUCGCAUAUCUUCAUCGAUUUAAUUGGGGGAUGAUUCUCAUAGAAAUAGAUAUAUAGACAGAGAUUAGAUUUUGUUCUGGAAUUGUUGGGAUUAGAUAGAUAUAUGGUUGAAAAUAGAUGAAUCGAUCGAUCGCUGCAUGAGAGAUAAAGGGGAGGAGGAAGCGAAUCGAUCGCUGAGAAAAAGUAGGUAGAGGAGAGAGAAAACUCAACAUGUCUGCCAUAGUGUGCGGGAAAAGAUCAAAUUUUUUCGAAGAUAAUACCCCAUCAUCAUCAUCGCCACCUGUUUCCAAGAGGAUUCGUUGUUCUUCUACUUCCCCUGUUCGUUUCUCACCGCCCAGAACCAAUACCAAUACCGCCUCUCUGUUUUCUUCUUCAUUCCAGUAUCCGUUUAAUUUGUCGUCAUAUUCAUCCUCGUCACGUUUGGAUCAUCUUGCUGCUCUCUUUCUUGAUAUGGAGAAACAGGUUUUCUUCUUAUUUUAUUUUUACGUUGAUUGUUGCAAUUGUUUAUAUUGUUUCAUGAUCUUUUAUGCCAUUACUUGCCGAUUUGCUGUAGUAGAAAUUACCCAAUUCGCGAAGCAGAAUGCUUGUUGCCGAUUUGCUGUAGUAGGAAUUACCCAAUUCGUGCUGUAGUAGAAAUUACCCAAUCAUACCCUCCGUCCGCUAGUGCAACUACCGGAUGUAUAUAAUCAUUCAGCUGAUUUGUUAUGGUUUAGUCUGUGGGGGCAAAAGUGUCUAAUAAUUUGAUUAAUUACGUCCGCUAAAAUUUCUAGCGGACGGUCCUAAUCUCAGCCAUCCAGAAAUAAAACGAAGGGUUUAGAUGCUAUAUGCCACUUUUUACUCCAUAGCAUAUAGAUGCUAUGGAUCAUUCUCCAUAUAUAUAUAUUAGACCUGACAAUAUAAUUAGUUAACUGUUCGGUCAAACCAUAUUAACUGAAAUCAAAUAGGUUGGUUAACCAUUUUUAUUUAUUCAGGUCGGUUAAAGUUUGGACCCAUAUUUUUUAAAACAAAUAUAGUUCUGAACUGGUUAACUAUUUUUCAACCCAUAUUUCAUUCCGAUUCAAAUCGAAAAGUUGUUUUCUCA